AAUUUAAAAUAUAUAUUAUAUUAUACAUGCGUAAGUAAUAAUUAUGUUUUUAUAUUAUAUUAUUAUUAAUAUAUUAUAUUAUAUUAUAUUAUUAUAUUAUUAUAUUAUUAUAUUAUUAUAUAUAUGACAAAGAAAGAAAGAAAAGAAACAGAGAGCAAAACAAAACAGAGAAGGGAGAAAGAAAGAAACAGAGAGCAAAACGAAACAGAGAAGGAAGGAAGGAAAGAGAGAAAAGAAAAGAAAAGAAAAAAGGAAAUUUGAGGUUUUAAGGUUCAAAGUAAUUUGGUAAGUCAAUUUAAUCCCCUUUUCUCUUAAUUUUGAUAUUUUUUUUGAAAUCCUAGAAUAAAAUACUACUUGAUUUAAGUUGAAAUUUUGGAAGUUAGUAGAUUAUUAAGCAUGGUUCAUGUUGAAUAAAUUGUUAAAUUAGGGAUGUAUUUGAUAGAAAUUUUGAUUGGAAUUGAAUAAAGGAUUGAAUUGUAAACUAAACUAUAAGUUUUGAAUUUUAGGGAUUAAUUUGAAAUAAAUUCGAAAUUAUGAAAACAUGAUAAAAAUUAAAUAGUUAAAUAUGAGUUUAGCAAGAAAUUGGGUAGAAUAAGGGUAUGAAUUGAGAAAGAAAAAUAUAUAGGUUUAGUUAGGGGUUAAAUUGAUUUAAUUUCAAGUUAGAAGUUAGUAAAGAAUGUAAUUGUAAAAUAAAAUAUAAGUUUUGAAUCGAUAGGGAUUAAAUUGAAAGAAUCCCAAAAUUAGGGAUUUAUGGGGAAAUUGAAGAAUUAAACUGAGUUUAUAGUAAGAAUUAAGAGAGAAUAUAGAGUUAGAAUGCAAAAAUAAAAUUAGUAUUGAUAAGGGAUUAAAUUAGAAUUUGAUGUUGCCAUAGAAGAGAAAAAUGUUCAGAAUGUUAUAAAACAUAAGAAUAAGAGAUGAAGUUUAAUUUCCGGGCCUUGGGGCAAAAAUGUAAUUAUGUAAAAGUUUAGGGGCAAAAUUGUAAUUUUGAAAAAGUUAGAGUCGAGGGCUAUUUUGAUGAAUGUGAUUAUUAAAUAAGUUAAAUUUACUAUUUUAGAUCAAGAAGUACGAAACUCGAGGUUAGACAAAGGG
RNAcentral lists this long non-coding RNA (1089 nucleotides) under Gossypium barbadense (sea-island cotton). RNAcentral's name for it is "long non-coding RNA (GBAR_LNC013903)". Lineage: Eukaryota; Viridiplantae; Streptophyta; Magnoliopsida; Malvales; Malvaceae. The record is from RNAcentral.